This 647-nucleotide ribosomal RNA is filed under the name uncultured delta proteobacterium. Its description in RNAcentral is "bacterial SSU rRNA". It matches the Rfam family "Bacterial small subunit ribosomal RNA", at positions 70 to 692 of the family's 1533-position model. The record is from RNAcentral. Lineage: Bacteria; Deltaproteobacteria.
CAUUCCUGGGCAACUGGGAAAGUAAAGUGGCGCACGGGUGAGUAGCACGUGGGUAACCUACCCUUAGAUUUGGGAUAACUCCGCGAAAGCGGGGCUAAUACCAAAUGAUAUUCCGAUUCCCAAGGGAGUUGGAAUCAAAGGUGGCCUCUGCAUGCAAGCUAUCAUCAAAGGAUGGGCCCGCGUACCAUUAGCUAGUUGGUAGGGUAAUGGCCCACCAAGGCGACGAUGGUUAGCUGGUCUGAGAGGAUGGCCGGCCACACUGGAACUGAGACACGGUCCAGACUCCUACGGGAGGCAGCAGUGGGGAAUCUUGCGCAAUGGGGGAAACCUUGACGCAGCAACGCCGCGUGGGUGAUGAAGGCCUUCGGGUCGUAAAGCCCUGUCAGGUGGGAAGAAACGUAUCGGUGAUAAUACCACCGAUAUUUGACGGUACUACCGGAGGAAGCACCGGCUAACUCCGUGCCAGCAGCCGCGGUAAUACGGAGGGUGCAAGCGUUGUUCGGAAUUACUGGGCGUAAAGCGCGUGUAGGCGGUCGGGCAAGUCAGAUGUGAAAGCCUUCCGCUUAACGGAAGAAGUGCAUUUGAAACUACCCGGCUGGAGUACGGGAGAGGAGAGUGGAAUUCCCGGUGUAGAGGUGAAAUUCGUA